This 75-nucleotide transfer RNA is filed under the name Cohnella hongkongensis. Its description in RNAcentral is "tRNA-Gly". It matches the Rfam family "tRNA". Rfam says of the family: Transfer RNA (tRNA) molecules are approximately 80 nucleotides in length. The record is from RNAcentral. Lineage: Bacteria; Bacillati; Bacillota; Bacilli; Caryophanales; Paenibacillaceae. RNAcentral also lists the same sequence under 28 other names.
GCGGAAAUAGCUCAGUGGUAGAGCAUCUCGUUGCCAACGAGAAGGUCGCGGGUUCGAAUCCCGUUUUCCGCUCCA